GAUGAACGCUGGCGGCGUGCCUAAUACAUGCAAGACGAGCGAACAGACGAGGAGCUUGCUCCUCUGACGUUAGCGGCGGACGGGUGAGUAACACGUGGAUAACCUACCUAUAAGACUGGGAUAACUUCGGGAAACCGGAGCUAAUACCGGAUAACAUGUUGAACCGCAUGGUUCAACAGUGAAAGACGGUCUUGCUGUCACUUAUAGAUGGAUCCGCGCCGCAUUAGCUAGUUGGUAAGGUAACGGCUUACCAAGGCAACGAUGCGUAGCCGACCUGAGAGGGUGAUCGGCCACACUGGAACUGAGACACGGUCCAGACUCCUACGGGAGGCAGCAGUAGGGAAUCUUCCGCAAUGGGCGAAAGCCUGACGGAGCAACGCCGCGUGAGUGAAGAAGGUCUUCGGAUCGUAAAACUCUGUUAUUAGGGAAGAACAAAUGUGUAAGUAACUAUGCACGUCUUGACGGUACCUAAUCAGAAAGCCACGGCUAACUACGUG
RNAcentral lists this ribosomal RNA (497 nucleotides) under uncultured bacterium. RNAcentral's name for it is "partial 16S ribosomal RNA". It matches the Rfam family "Bacterial small subunit ribosomal RNA", at positions 28 to 507 of the family's 1533-position model. The record is from RNAcentral.